UACGUAGGGUGCAAGCGUUAAUCGGAAUUACUGGGCGUAAAGCGUGCGCAGGCGGUUCGUUGUGUCGGUGGUGAAAGCCCCGGGCUUAACCUGGGAAUGGCCAUGGAAACUGGCGAACUGGAGUGUGGCAGAGGGGGGUGGAAUUCCGCGUGUAGCAGUGAAAUGCGUAGAGAUGCGGAGGAACACCGAUGGCGAAGGCAGCCCCCUGGGUCAAGACUGACGCUCAUGCACGAAAGCGUGGGGAGCAAACAGG
RNAcentral lists this ribosomal RNA (253 nucleotides) under uncultured bacterium. RNAcentral describes it as "partial 16S ribosomal RNA". It matches the Rfam family "Bacterial small subunit ribosomal RNA", at positions 524 to 776 of the family's 1533-position model. The record is from RNAcentral.